GGGGAUGAUUGGUUUCGACUCUGAGAUAGAAGGAUCAUCUGCGUGUAAAGGGAGCCUGUCCCUCAAAACAGGUCGUCCAACUGCGAACGACAACGCGUCCGUUCUCGCCCUCGUGGCGUGAGCCGUCAGCCUAGAGAGAUAGUCCUGGUAUCAAGGCUGGCGUGAAUACAAGGGCUGGCUCACCAAGAAGUCCUGGGUAGGUGAGCGAGGAGUACACGGGAAGUAGGUGACGGCCGAAUCCGUCAACUCAGCCGGUAGGGAUAUAUCGGCUACACACGUGAACGAUGAUGAUCUGGAAGCUUGGAGGACCCGGGUUCGAUUCCCGGCAUCUCCACAG
RNAcentral lists this transfer-messenger RNA (337 nucleotides) under Candidatus Fraserbacteria bacterium RBG_16_55_9. It matches the Rfam family "transfer-messenger RNA". From Rfam's summary of the family: Bacterial tmRNA, also known as 10Sa RNA or SsrA, is named for its dual tRNA and mRNA-like properties. Its role is to liberate the mRNA from a stalled ribosome. To accomplish this part of the tmRNA is used as a reading frame that ends in a translation stop signal. RNAcentral also lists the same sequence under 1 other name. The record is from RNAcentral. Lineage: Bacteria; Candidatus Fraseribacteriota.